AUUCACGCUGGCGGCGUGCCUAAUACAUGCCAGUCGAGCGAACGGACGAGAAGCUUGCUUCUCUGAUGUUAGCGGCGGACGGGUGAGUAACACGUGGAUAACCUACCUAUAAGACUGGGAUAACUUCGGGAAACCGGAGCUAAUACCGGAUGAUAUUUUGAACCGCAUGGUUCAAAAGUGAAAGACGGUCUUGCUGUCACUUAUAGAUGGAUCCGCGCUGCAUUAGCUAGUUGGUAAGGUAACGGCUUACCAAGGCAACGAUGCAUAGCCGACCUGAGAGGGUGAUCGGCCACACUGGAACUGAGACACGGUCCAGACUCCUACGGGAGGCAGCAGUAGGGAAUCUUCCGCAAUGGGCGAAAGCCUGACGGAGCAACGCCGCGUGAGUGAUGAAGGUCUUCGGAUCGUAAAACUCUGUUAUUAGGGAAGAACAUAUGUGUAAGUAACUGUGCACAUCUUGACGGUACCUAAUCAGAAAGCCACGGCUAACUACGUG
Molecule: ribosomal RNA, 496 nt
Filed under: uncultured bacterium
Lineage: Bacteria
Description: partial 16S ribosomal RNA
Rfam family: Bacterial small subunit ribosomal RNA
Source: RNAcentral